RNAcentral lists this non-coding RNA (1339 nucleotides) under Ictidomys tridecemlineatus (thirteen-lined ground squirrel). Its description in RNAcentral is "Spermophilus tridecemlineatus (thirteen-lined ground squirrel) Eukaryotic large subunit ribosomal RNA". It matches the Rfam family "Eukaryotic large subunit ribosomal RNA", at positions 665 to 1842 of the family's 3401-position model. The record is from Rfam by way of RNAcentral. Lineage: Eukaryota; Metazoa; Chordata; Mammalia; Rodentia; Sciuridae.
AUUUAAAAGGAAAAAUAAUGUGUGGUUUUUUUUUAAUGUUACUUAAGAAAGAUGAUAUGUCGCAAUGAAGGUGAAGGCCAGUGGCUUGCCCACCAGCUGAAGUGGGAUCCCGAGCUUUCUCCAGUCCUCCAAGGGUGUACCACUAGCCUGUCUUGCCCACUGCACCAGGGAGGUGGAGCAUGAGCACAUGUGUUAGGACCUGGAAGAUGGUGAACUAACUAUGCCCGGACAAGACAAAGCCGGAGGAAAUUCAGGUAGCGGUCCUGAUGUGCAAGUCGGUCAUCUGAUCUGGGUAUAGAGGUGAAAGACCAAUUGAACCAUCCCUCAGGGUAGCUGGCGCUCUUGCAGAAAUAAAAAACAUGAAAACAACCCAGACAGUUUAAUCCUUUAAAGCCAAAGAUUAGAGGUCUUGGGGCCAAAGUGAUCUCAACCUAUUCUCAAACUUUAAAUGGGUAAGAAGCCCAGCAGGAUGGCAUGGAUCUGGGCAUGAACGUGAGUGCCUAGUGGGCCAUUUUUGGUAAGCAGAACUAGCACUGUGGGAAGAACCACACAUCAGGUUAAGGUGCCUGAUGCCAAUGCUCAGCAGACCCCAGAAAAGGUGUUGAUUGAUACAGACUGCAGGAUGGUGGCCAUGGAAGUUGGACUCAGGAGUGUGUAACAACUCACCUGCUGAAUCAAGUAGCCCUGAAAGUGGAUGGUGCUGGAGAGUGGGGACCAUACCUGGCCAUCGCUGGCGGUCAAAACACGGUGGACAGGGGCGAAAGCAACCUGAGAUUGCUACGCCAUUACAAGUAGGAGAGCCACUGUGGUGAGCCUUGAGGCCUAGGGCCGCAGCCCAGGUGGAGCUGCCGCAGGUGCAGAUCUUGGUGACAGUAGCAAAUAUUUAAAUGAGAACUUUCAUGACUAAAGAGGAGAAAGGUCCCAUGUGAACAGCAGUUGAACAUGGGUCAGUCGGUCCUGAGAGAUGGGUGAGCGCCCUUCCAAAGAGACAGGUGAUGGCCUCCAUUGCCUUCCACCAAUCAAAAGGGAGUCGGGUUCAGACCAUGGAAUCUGGAGUGGCGGAGAUGGGCACUGUGAGGUGUUCAGAAUGGUAAUUGAUCCCAGAGAAGUGGGCAGGAACCCCGGAGAGAGUUCUCCUUUCUUUGUGAAUGGCAGGGCUGCCCUGGAAUAGAUUAGCCCGGAGAGAGGGGACCAUGCCUUGGAAAGUAUUGCAGUUCUGGCGGUGUCUAGUGACAAAUAAUAAUAAUAAUAAUAAAAAUAAAUGCAUAAAUAAAUUAGUUAAAAAGUAACAAGAUGUAUGCUUGUGUUAGCCCUACCAAAAGUAAAUAAAGCUGGAGGC